UGGCUCAGGACGAACGCUGGCGGCGUGCUUAACACAUGCAAGUCGAGCGGAGAUUGCAUUUAUGUAAUCUUAGCGGCGGACGGGUGAGUAACGCGUAGGCAACCUGCCUUGCACAGAGGGAUAACACCGGGAAACUGGUGCUAAUACCACAUGAUAUCAUAACAAGGCAUCUUGAAAUGAUCAAAGGAGAAAUCCGGUGCAAGAUGGGCCUGCGUCCGAUUAGUUAGUUGGUGAGGUAACGGCUCACCAAGGCGACGAUCGGUAGCCGAACUGAGAGGUUGAUCGGCCACAUUGGGACUGAGACACGGCCCAGACUCCUACGGGAGGCAGCGGUGGGGAAUAUUGCGCAAUGGGGGGAACCCUGACGCAGCAACGCCGCGUGAAGGAAGAAGGCCUUCGGGUUGUAAACUUUUUUGAUUGGGGAAGAAAAAAAUGACGGUACCCAAGGAACAAGCCACGGCUAACUACGUGCCAGCAGCCGCGGUAAUACGUAGGUGGCGAGCGUUGUCCGGAAUUACUGGGUGUAAAGGGCGUGUAGGCGGGAUUGUAAGUCAGAUGUGAAAUUCCAGGGCUUAACUCUGGAGGUGCAUCUGAAACUAUAAUUCUUGAGUGCUGGAGAGGAAAGCGGAAUUCCUAGUGUAGCGGUGAAAUGCGUAGAUAUUAGGAAGAACACCAGUGGCGAAGGCGGCUUUCUGGACAGUAACUGACGCUGAGGCGCGAAAGCGUGGGGAGCAAACAGGAUUAAAUACCCUGGUAGUCCACGCUGUAAACGAUGGAUACUAGGUGUAGGAGGUAUCGACCCCUUCUGUGCCGGAGUUAACACAAUAAGUAUCCCACCUGGGGAGUACGGCCGCAAGGCUGAAACUCAAAGGAAUUGACGGGGGCCCGCACAAGCAGUGGAGUAUGUGGUUUAAUUCGAAGCAACGCGAAGAACCUUACCAGGGCUUGACAUCCCUCGGAUAACAUAGAGAUAUGUUAGUCCUUCGGGACGAGGAGACAGGUGGUGCAUGGUUGUCGUCAGCUCGUGUCGUGAGAUGUUGGGUUAAGUCCCGCGACGAGCGCAACCCCUAUUGUUAGUUGCCAUCAUUAAGUUGGGCGCUCUAACGAGACUGCCGGUGACAAAUCGGAGGAAGGUGGGGACGACGUCAAAUCAUCAUGCCCCUUAUGUCCUGGGCUACACACGUACUACAAUGGUCACUACAAAGGGAAGCAAUACCGCAAGGAGGAGCAAAUCCCCAAAGGUGACCUCAGUUCGGAUUGUGGGCUGAAACCCGCCCACAUG
This 1282-nucleotide ribosomal RNA is filed under the name uncultured organism. RNAcentral's name for it is "bacterial SSU rRNA". It matches the Rfam family "Bacterial small subunit ribosomal RNA", at positions 20 to 1322 of the family's 1533-position model. The record is from RNAcentral.